RNAcentral lists this ribosomal RNA (274 nucleotides) under uncultured bacterium. RNAcentral describes it as "partial 16S ribosomal RNA". It matches the Rfam family "Bacterial small subunit ribosomal RNA", at positions 523 to 796 of the family's 1533-position model. The record is from RNAcentral.
ACACGGGGGGCGCAAGCGUUAUUCGGAAUUAUUGGGCGUAAAGGGCGUGUAGGCGGUUUUAUCGGUCAGAUGUGAAAGCCCAGGGCUCAACCCUGGACGUGCAUUUGAAACAGUAAGACUUGAGUACGGUAGAGGAAAGCGGAAUUCCUGGUGUAGAGGUGAAAUUCGUAGAUAUCAGGAGGAACACCGAUGGCGAAGGCAGCUUUCUGGACCGAAACUGACGCUGAUGCGCGAAGGCGUGGGUAGCGAACAGGAGUAGAAACCCGAGUAGUCC